Non-coding RNA from Glossina morsitans morsitans, 73 nucleotides. The record is from Rfam. NCBI's taxonomy places the organism in Eukaryota, Metazoa, Arthropoda, Insecta, Diptera, Glossinidae.
ACUGGCCACGCGUAUUCUUAGGUUAUUAACAUGUCUACGAAAUUGUUAUUGCUUGAGAAUACACGUAGUUAAC